Molecule: ribosomal RNA, 451 nt
Filed under: uncultured bacterium
Lineage: Bacteria
Description: bacterial SSU rRNA
Rfam family: Bacterial small subunit ribosomal RNA
Source: RNAcentral
GUAGGGAAUAUUGCGCAAUGGGGGAAACCCUGACGCAGCAACGCCGCGUGAGUGAGGAAGGUCUUCGGAUUGUAAAACUCUUUUAUUAGGGAAAAAUGUCUAGGUGGCUAAUAUCCACUUAGAGUGAUGGUACCUAAGGAAUAAGCACCGGCUAACUUCGUGCCAGCAGCCGCGGUAAUACGAAGGGUGCAAGCGUUGUUCGGAAUCAUUGGGCGUAAAGCGCGCGCAGGCGGGUCAGUAAGUCAGGUGUGAAAUCUCGGAGCUCAACUCCGAAACUGCGCCUGAAACUAUUGGUCUAGAGUAUCGGAGGGGACAGGGGAAUUUCACGUGUAGGGGUAAAAUCCGUAGAGAUGUGAAGGAACACCGGAGGCGAAGGCGCCUGUCUGGACGAUUACUGACGCUGAGGCGCGAAAGCGUGGGGAGCAAACAGGAUUAGAUACCCCAGUAGUCC